GGCGUUAUCCGGAUUUAUUGGGUUUAAAGGGAGCGUAGGCCGUUUGGUAAGCGUGUUGUGAAAUGUCGGGGCUCAACCUGGGCAUUGCAGCGCGAACUGCCAGACUUGAGUGCGCAGGAAGUAGGCGGAAUUCGUCGUGUAGCGGUGAAAUGCUUAGAUAUGACGAAGAACUCCGAUUGCGAAGGCAGCCUGCUGUAGCGCAACUGACGCUGAAGCUCGAAAGCGUGGGUAUCGAACAGGAUUAGAUACCCUGGUAGUCCACGCGGUAAACGAUGGAUGCUCGCUGUUUGCGUCUGACGUAAGCGGCCAAGCGAAAGCGUUAAGCAUCCCACCUGGGGAGUACGCCGGCAACGGUGAAACUCAAAGGAAUUGACGGGGGCCCGCACAAGCGGAGGAACAUGUGGUUUAAUUCGAUGAUACGCGAGGAACCUUACCCGGGCUUGAACUGUAGGUGAACGAUUCAGAGAUGAUGAGGCCCUUCGGGGCGCCUAUGGAGGUGCUGCAUGGUUGUCGUCAGCUCGUGCCGUGAGGUGUCGGCUUAAGUGCCAUAACGAGCGCAACCCUUGUUCGUAGUUGCCAUCGGGUGAUGCCGGGCACUCUGCGAAGACUGCCUCCGUAAGGAGUGAGGAAGGUGGGGAUGACGUCAAAUCAGCACGGCCCUUACGUCCGGGGCUACACACGUGUUACAAUGGCAUGUACAGAAAGCAGGGUGUAUGCAAAUACGCUCGAAUCCCUAAAACAUGUCUCAGUUCGGACUGGGGUCUGCAACCCGACCCCACGAAGCUGGAUUCGCUAGUAAUCGCGCAUCAGCCAUGGCGCGGUGAAUACGUUCCCGGGCCUUGUACACACCGCCCGUCAAGCCAUGAAAGCCGGGGGCGCCUAAAGUCCGUGACCGCGAGGGUCGGCCUAGGGUGAAACCGGUGAUUGGGGCUAAGUCGUAACAAGGUAGCCGUACCGGAAGGUGCGGCUG
RNAcentral lists this ribosomal RNA (970 nucleotides) under gut metagenome. Its description in RNAcentral is "bacterial SSU rRNA". It matches the Rfam family "Bacterial small subunit ribosomal RNA", at positions 537 to 1520 of the family's 1533-position model. The record is from RNAcentral.